RNAcentral lists this ribosomal RNA (465 nucleotides) under Vreelandella stevensii. Its description in RNAcentral is "partial 16S ribosomal RNA". It matches the Rfam family "Bacterial small subunit ribosomal RNA", at positions 338 to 795 of the family's 1533-position model. The record is from RNAcentral. Lineage: Bacteria; Pseudomonadati; Pseudomonadota; Gammaproteobacteria; Oceanospirillales; Halomonadaceae.
CCUACGGGUGGCAGCAGUGGGGAAUAUUGGACAAUGGGGGCAACCCUGAUCCAGCCAUGCCGCGUGUGUGAAGAAGGCCCUCGGGUUGUAAAGCACUUUCAGUGAGGAAGAACGCCUGGUGGUUAAUACCCAUCAGGAAAGACAUCACUCACAGAAGAAGCACCGGCUAACUCCGUGCCAGCAGCCGCGGUAAUACGGAGGGUGCGAGCGUUAAUCGGAAUUACUGGGCGUAAAGCGCGCGUAGGUGGCUUGAUAAGCCGGUUGUGAAAGCCCCGGGCUCAACCUGGGAACGGCAUCCGGAACUGUCAAGCUAGAGUGCAGGAGAGGAAGGUAGAAUUCCCGGUGUAGCGGUGAAAUGCGUAGAGAUCGGGAGGAAUACCAGUGGCGAAGGCGGCCUUCUGGACUGACACUGACACUGAGGUGCGAAAGCGUGGGUAGCAAACAGGAUUAGAUACCCGAAUAGUC